This 161-nucleotide small nuclear RNA is filed under the name Nicotiana attenuata. Its description in RNAcentral is "snRNA U1". It matches the Rfam family "U1 spliceosomal RNA". From Rfam's summary of the family: U1 is a small nuclear RNA (snRNA) component of the spliceosome (involved in pre-mRNA splicing). Its 5' end forms complementary base pairs with the 5' splice junction, thus defining the 5' donor site of an intron. There are significant differences in sequence and secondary structure between metazoan and yeast U1 snRNAs, the latter being much longer (568 nucleotides as compared to 164 nucleotides in human). The record is from Rfam by way of RNAcentral. Lineage: Eukaryota; Viridiplantae; Streptophyta; Magnoliopsida; Solanales; Solanaceae.
AUACUUACCUGGACAGGGUCAAUGGGCGAUCAAUAAGACCCAUGGCCUAGGUUGGUGACCUCCAUUGCACUUUGGAGGGGUGCUUGCCUAAGGUCGACCCAAGUGGUCGAGCCUACGUCAUAAUUUGUGGCAGCGGGGGCCUGCGUCCGCGCGGCCCCUAC